GACGAACGCUGGCGGCGUGCCUAAUACAUGCAAGUUGAGCGCUGAAGGUUGGUACUUGUACCGACUGGAUGAGCAGCGAACGGGUGAGUAACGCGUGGGGAAUCUGCCUUUGAGCGGGGGACAACAUUUGGAAACGAAUGCUAAUACCGCAUAAAAACUUUAAACACAAGUUUUAAGUUUGAAAGAUGCAAUUGCAUCACUCAAAGAUGAUCCCGCGUGGUAUUAGCUAGUUGGUGAGGUAAAGGCUCACAAAGGCGAUGAUACAUAGCCGACCUGGGAGGGUGAUCGGCCACAUUGGGACUGAAACACGGCCCAAACUCCUACGGAAGGCAGCAGUAGGGAAUCUUCGGCAAUGGACGAAAGUCUGACCGAGCAACGCCGCGUGAGUGAAGAAGGUUUUCGGAUCGUAAAACUCUGUUGGUAGAGAAGAACGUUGGUGAGAGUGGAAAGCUCAUCAAGUGACGGUAACUACCCAGAAAGGGACGGCUAACUACGUGCCAGCCGCCGCCGUAA
This 513-nucleotide ribosomal RNA is filed under the name uncultured bacterium. RNAcentral describes it as "partial 16S ribosomal RNA". It matches the Rfam family "Bacterial small subunit ribosomal RNA", at positions 28 to 523 of the family's 1533-position model. The record is from RNAcentral.